RNAcentral lists this ribosomal RNA (490 nucleotides) under uncultured bacterium. Its description in RNAcentral is "partial 16S ribosomal RNA". It matches the Rfam family "Bacterial small subunit ribosomal RNA", at positions 30 to 507 of the family's 1533-position model. The record is from RNAcentral.
AUUGAACGCUGGCGGCAUGCUUUACACAUGCAAGUCGGACGGCAGCACAUAGAAGCUUGCUUCUUGGGUGGCGAGUGGCGAACGGGUGAGUAAUAUAUCGGAACGUACCGAGUAAUGGGGGAUAACUAAUCGAAAGAUUAGCUAAUACCGCAUAUUCUCUGAGGAGGAAAGCAGGGGACCUUCGGGCCUUGCGUUAUUCGAGCGGCCGAUAUCUGAUUAGCUAGUUGGUGGGGUAAAGGCCUACCAAGGCGACGAUCAGUAGCGGGUCUGAGAGGAUGAUCCGCCACACUGGGACUGAGACACGGCCCAGACUCCUACGGGAGGCAGCAGUGGGGAAUUUUGGACAAUGGGCGCAAGCCUGAUCCAGCCAUGCCGCGUGUCUGAAGAAGGCCUUCGGGUUGUAAAGGACUUUUGUCAGGGAAGAAAAGGCUGUUGCUAAUAUCAAUAGCUGAUGACGGUACCUGAAGAAUAAGCACCGGCUAACUACGUG